This 539-nucleotide long non-coding RNA is filed under the name Pan troglodytes (chimpanzee). RNAcentral describes it as "long non-coding RNA NONPTRT005460". The record is from RNAcentral. Lineage: Eukaryota; Metazoa; Chordata; Mammalia; Primates; Hominidae.
GAGGGGUAUAGGCAAGCAGCAAAGUAUUGGGCAAGAUCACUGGACUGGGAGUCCAGAGAUGCUGCUUCACCCUGGGGCUUUAGGCAAGUCCCUUUCCCUCCCAGAGCCUCAGCAUCCCUUUUAGCAAAUUAUGACAUUCUGCCUUUCUCCUAGGAUGGCUGUGGGGAUCAAGGGAGACAGUGGCCAUAGGGAUGCUAUGUUAACCGCAGAUGCGGCUGUAGGAGCACUUUCCUAACUGCCAACCAUGGGUGGUCCUCUGAGCACGCCAGGCACGAGUGUGCAGGGAGCUGGUGCAAAUGCCUCUGUGUGCGGGUGAGCAUCUGUGUUGUGACUCUGCCCACGCAUGUACUUCAGUGUGCCGAGUGGCUGCACGCCCCAGAUCCAUGCGGCACGUGCUGGCCGGUGGGAGUGCUGGGCAUUGGGAGGUGGCGGGGAGGGCGACGUAUGCGUGUUGUUUGUGGGCAUGUGUUAAGAGUGUGCAUGCGGGCUGUGGGGCCUCACAGCAUGUGUGUGCACAAUCUGGCGUGUGCGUGUGUCCG